UCCGAUGACAAUAGCAAGUGUGACCCACCUGAUCCAUUUCGAACUCAGAAGUGAAACCACUUAGCGCCGAUGGUAGUGUAGUUUUUUCUAUGCGAGAGUAGGACAUCGUCGGAC
This 114-nucleotide ribosomal RNA is filed under the name Gammaproteobacteria bacterium. Lineage: Bacteria; Pseudomonadati; Pseudomonadota; Gammaproteobacteria. The record is from RNAcentral. RNAcentral also lists the same sequence under 2 other names.